AUGGCGACCGUCUCCUACCUCGAGCUUUCGCUUUGCUUCCUCUGCUUCGUCUUGUUCUACUGCUUCCACGUAAGGUCCAAGCGCAAGAACCCGGCGCUCCCGCUGGACUGGCCGCUGGUGGGCAUGCUCCCGGCGCUCCUCGCCAACCUGCCGCGCCUCCACGACUGGGUCACCUCCGUCCUCACCGCCAGCACGCUCAGCUUCCGCCUCGCCGGCCCGCCGCGUUCGGGGAUGCAGCUCUUCUUCACCGCUGACCCGGCCAACGUCCGCCACCGGGCUAAGGCGCAGCUGCUCAUGUCCGCUCCUCGGUUCCGGGCAUUCGUGUCCCGCUGCACCCGCCGCAAGGUCGAGAGCGACCUGCUCCCGCUGCUCGCCCGCGUCGCUGACGCCGGCUCUGGUGAGUGCGACCUGCAGGACGUGUUCCUCAGGCUCACGUUUGACACCACCACCACGCUGGUCUUCGGCCUCGACCCGGGCUGCCUGGCCGUCGGCUUCCCGGAGGUGCCGUUCGCGCGCGCCAUCGACGACGCCAUGGACGUGCUCCCAGUCCGCAUCGUGCUCCCGCUGUCGUGGUGGAAGCUGGUGCGGCGGCUCGGGGUCGGGUAUGAGCGGAAGAUGACGGUGGCCUGGCGCGACAUCGGCCGGUUCAUCGGCGACACGAUCGCCAAGCGGCGACAGGCGGUGAAGGCCAGAGGCGGGAUCGAGGACUCGGCGGACCUGCUCUCCUCCUACAUCGACGACGACAAAGACGACGACGAUGCCAGCGCGGUCAUCGACGCCUUCCUCCGGGACACGACCAUGAACCUCAUGCUCGCCGGCCGCGACACGACCGGCUCGGCGCUGUCCUGGUUCUUCUACCUCCUCACCAGGAACCCGGGCGUGGUGUCCAUGAUCCUCGCAGAGCUCGACACCAUCAAGACCACCACCACCACCCUGGACGGCAUGGUGACCUACGACCCGGACGAGCUCGGCCGGCUGGUGUACCUGCACGCGGCCCUGUGCGAGUCGCUCCGGCUGUACCCGCCGGUGCCGAUGGAGCACAAGGGAGUGGCCUCCGCCGAGGCGCUGCCAAGCGGGCACGAGGUGCGGCCGGGGGACAAGAUCCUUGUGUCGCUGUACGCGAUGGGGAGGAUGGAGGCCGUGUGGGGCAAGGACUGCCGGGAGUUCCGGCCGGAGCGGUGGAUAGGGGAGGACGGCAAGCCGCGGUACGUGCCGUCGUACAAGUUUGCCUCCUUCAAUGCUGGGCCGCGGACCUGCCUGGGCAAGGACAUGGCCCUCGUGCAGCUCAAGACCGUGGCGGCCGCCGUGGUGAGGAACUUCGAGGUGGACGUCGUGCCAGGGCACGUCGUGGAGCCCAAGAUCUCCGUUAUUCUCCACAUGAAGAACGGCUUCAAGGCCAGGAUUAAGAGGAGACAGGUGAUGAACAGCUAA
This 1431-nucleotide ribosomal RNA is filed under the name Triticum aestivum (bread wheat). RNAcentral describes it as "partial small subunit ribosomal RNA". Lineage: Eukaryota; Viridiplantae; Streptophyta; Magnoliopsida; Poales; Poaceae. The record is from RNAcentral.